Molecule: ribosomal RNA, 350 nt
Filed under: Sphaerosoma sp. 1 FWS-2010
Lineage: Eukaryota; Metazoa; Arthropoda; Insecta; Coleoptera; Alexiidae
Description: partial 12S ribosomal RNA
Source: RNAcentral
UUAAAUUGUAUUAGAUUCNNUAAAUUAUUAAUAGUUAUGUUCUUUAAAAUUAAAGAUUUUGGCGGUAUUUUAUUCUUAUCAGAGGAACCUGUCCUAUAAUUGAUAAUCCACGAUAAAUUUAACUUUAUUUCUUAGUUUGUAUAUCAUCGUAGGUUGAAUAUUUUAUUAGAAUAAUAAUGUUCUUAAUAUUAUAAAUAAUGUAAAAUCAGAUCAAGGUGCAGCUUAUAGUAAAGUAGAGAUGGGUUACAAUAAAUUUAUUUAAACGGAUAAUAUUUUGAAAAAGUAUUUAAAGGUGGAUUUGAAUGUAAUUAAUUUAAUUUUAUUUUAAUGAUUUUAGCUCUAAAAUAUGU